GUGAAUCAUCGAAUCUUUGAACGCAAAUUGCACUCUCUGGUAUUCCGGAGAGAAUGCCUGUUUGAGUGUCAGUUUAAAUAAAAAUCGGUGUGGUUGCUGCCUUUCGUUGUGACGCUCCGGAUUUGGGUCGUCUUGGUUUCGGUUAAGUGACCUCAGAUUUUGCAUGAUUUUUUUCGAACGAAAUUAAAUUAUUUUACUUAUGUUUGCGCUAUCUAAUACUAGCUGUGGUCAUCCACAUGUUUC
RNAcentral lists this unclassified non-coding RNA (243 nucleotides) under Glomeraceae sp. RNAcentral describes it as "partial contains 5.8S ribosomal RNA and internal transcribed spacer 2". The stretch from base 1 to 71 matches the Rfam family "5.8S ribosomal RNA", at positions 84 to 154 of the family's 154-position model. Lineage: Eukaryota; Fungi; Glomeromycota; Glomeromycetes; Glomerales; Glomeraceae. The record is from RNAcentral.